GACGAACGCUGGCGGCGUGCUUAACACAUGCAAGUCGAACGGAAAGGCCCUGCUUUUGUGGGGUGCUCGAGUGGCGAACGGGUGAGUAACACGUGAGUAACCUGCCCUUGACUUUGGGAUAACUUCAGGAAACUGGGGCUAAUACCGGAUAGGAGCUCCUGCUGCAUGGUGGGGGUUGGAAAGUCUCGGCGGUUGGGGAUGGACUCGCGGCUUAUCAGCUUGCUGGUGGGGGAGUGGCUUACCAAGGCUUUGACGGGUAGCCGGCCUGAGAGGGUGACCGGCCACAUUGGGACUGAGAUACGGCCCAGACUCCUACGGGAGGCAGCAGUGGGGAAUAUUGCACAAUGGGCGGAAGCCUGAUGCAGCAACGCCGCGUGCGGGAUGACGGCCUUCGGGUUGUAAACCGCUUUCGCCUGUGACGAAGCGUGAGUGACGGUAAUGGGUAAAGAAGCACCGGCUAACUACGUG
Molecule: ribosomal RNA, 468 nt
Filed under: uncultured bacterium
Lineage: Bacteria
Description: partial 16S ribosomal RNA
Rfam family: Bacterial small subunit ribosomal RNA
Source: RNAcentral